This 465-nucleotide ribosomal RNA is filed under the name uncultured bacterium. RNAcentral's name for it is "partial 16S ribosomal RNA". It matches the Rfam family "Bacterial small subunit ribosomal RNA", at positions 339 to 795 of the family's 1533-position model. The record is from RNAcentral.
CUACGGGUUGCUCCAGUGGGGAAUAUUGCACAAUGGGCGCAAGCCUGAUGCAGCCAUGCCGCGUGUAUGAAGAAGGGGUGAGGGUUGUAAAGUACUUUCAGCGGGGAGGAAGGGAGUAAAGUUAAUACCUUUGCUCAUUGACGUUACCCGCAGAAGAAGCACCGGCUAACUCCGUGCCAGCAGCCGCGGUAAUACGGAGGGUGCAAGCGUUAAUCGGAAUGUACUGGGCGUAAAGCGCACGCAGGCGGUUUGUUAAGUCAGAUGUGAAAUCCCCGGGCUCAACCUGGGAACUGCAUCUGAUACUGGCAAGCUUGAGUCUCGUAGAGGGGGGUAGAAUUCCAGGUGUAGCGGUGAAAUGCGUAGAGAUCUGGAGGAAUACCGGUGGCGAAGGCGGCCCCCUGGACGAAGACUGACGCUCAGGUGCGAAAGCGUGGGGAGCAAACAGGAUUAGAUACCCCUGUAGUC